UCUUGCGAAUUUUUGGUAAGC
RNAcentral lists this non-coding RNA (21 nucleotides) under Caenorhabditis elegans. Lineage: Eukaryota; Metazoa; Nematoda; Chromadorea; Rhabditida; Rhabditidae. The record is from RNAcentral.